RNAcentral lists this long non-coding RNA (1377 nucleotides) under Ailuropoda melanoleuca (giant panda). RNAcentral's name for it is "lncRNA (ENSAMEG00000028109.1)". The record is from RNAcentral. Lineage: Eukaryota; Metazoa; Chordata; Mammalia; Carnivora; Ursidae.
AUGGGGAGAGGGGGCAUCAGAAACAGAAGAGAGCCAGGAAAGGUGAAGAGAGAGAAAGAAGGCUCAGCUCAGCUGCAGGGGACUCAUGCGGAGAGUGAGGAGUGAAACACGCGCUGACAGCCUUGUCAGGAAAUAGCCUGCAACCGUCCCACACCCUGGUCUGUCAGUUCCAUCUCCCCAGGGGAGGAGCCCCGGUGAGUCACUGCUCCUGUCUGUCCCUUGGAUUUCACUCCCCACCCCCCAAACACACAGCUCUCCUCCAGAAAGGAAUUAAUUUCUGGCUAUUAUUUUCUUCACCUGGGGAAGUGCCAGGCAUUUUGGCAGCAUGAGAGGAGAGGAGAGAAGCAGGAAGAAGUCAGGGCUGCCUGGGCUGGGGCCACCUGUUGGGGAGUGGGGGGCGCUGGGUCACCCAGAGCACUGUGAUGCCUCUGAUUGAGCUGGUCUUCUAGGCAAAUAUGGCACCUAAGAAAGAAGUGGGCUUUUCUCUAACAGCAUGGGGCCUGGAACAGCAGUAGGUCACCUAGGACACACAGGGGCCCUGGAAGAAAGCUGGGCUCUUGUUUAAACUUAGUCCUCUGAGGGGGAGGCUUGGAGUCUGGAGGGAAUGGUUGGGGCAGCCUCACGUGUGGCAUGCAGAGUCUGUCUCUCUCAGCUUUGGAGGUCAGAAAUGAGUUUCCCUUUCCCCAGGCACACUCUGGACUUGCAUCCUUGCUCCUAGCUUCCCUCCUUUGGGUUUAGUCCUCACGUUCCAGGCCCAAUCCCGGCUCUCACCCGCGGAGCUUCCCCCAUCACCUUCAUAAGGUCAGGAAUCUGUGUCACGUUAUCUGAAGAAGGGCUAGUAAUCGGGCACUGGAAAAACUGUUCCAUGUUCCCAGAAGCUGUGUGACCUGGCCUGGCAAGAGGAAGACAAAUUAAUAACUGAUGAAAAGAAAAGAGUCUACAUGAUCUGAAUGAAUCCUGGGCUGGAGUCUUCAGGGACAUCUUUUCAUGUUUGGCCGUUUCUGGUUGGCUCUCAUCCAGCUGCUGCCUGCCUGCUGGACUCCAUGCCAACACUGAGCAGUAUUAUACCUGAUCGAAGAUCACAGGAAUACCCAACCCUUGGGUGAGAGGGAGGGUGGCAGCAUAGAGCCCAUUAUAUGUAUAUGUGGUAUUGUUAGAGUCGGCCUUCAAGCCACUUCGAGCCACAUCCUGGGGGGAGCUAUUCUAAGGGAACUGCAAGGUGGGGUUGGUCACAACUCUCCAUUCCUCCCCCACCACACUAACCCCUGCCCACCUGAGUCUUCACAAUAAGCCUCCGGAGCUCUUCACCAAACCUAAGGGCACCUGCAGCCUUUCCACUCCCUUCCCUGGCAUCCCCUCCCCUCACUCAGAUGUUGC